UUGGUUUGAUUUCUUUUUAUCUUGGUCCAGUAGAAACAUUUCUUUGGGCCCAAGAUACACUUCAUGGGCUGCACACAUAGAUAAGUACCAACUUUAUAGAAUAGAACAAGGGGGACAGAGCACGAGAGAGAGGGAGUGAGUGAGGACAACACUUUGAGGGGAAGGGAGAAUUUUCGGGAAAGAGAGUUUGAGCGGGGCCAACACUUUGAGGGGGAGAGAGGAUUUUUGGGAAGAGAGAUUUUUCAUACAUAAAUUUCGGGAAAAGAGGGAGAUGGAAGGGGGUUUUAAUUAAAAAAGAAAAUAUCAUUUCUCUUGAAUCUCUUCUCUGAUUUUUUCUUCUUGAAUUCCAGAAAAAUCAUACAAAAAAAAAAGAUUUCUGUUUUUAAGUGAGUAGGAUCCGAAUUUCGAAAAGAUAUAUGAAAAUAUAUUCCAACUUUUCUUUUGGUUUCUAAUUUCAAAGAUGGGGUACCCAGGUCGCAGUUUGUGAGUUCGAGGCCCGGUCGUAAGGUUCAUGUUCGUGAUUCUGGUUAAAUUUUUAUGCUGAUUCUCUCUUAGAUUUUGUAAUCAAAGAUUUUUGUAUCCACGGAUUCUUCUACUCUGAUUAAGGAAAAGUUUGGCUUCAACAGUUUCAGAUUGUUUGGCAUCGAGUUGAGAAGUUAGAGAGGCGUUGGAGCGGGUUAUCAGAUUUCGGAACGAGGAGUGAUUCCGAGCUAUGUAGAUGUUGUGGCAUGAA
Molecule: long non-coding RNA, 733 nt
Organism: Nicotiana tabacum (common tobacco)
Lineage: Eukaryota; Viridiplantae; Streptophyta; Magnoliopsida; Solanales; Solanaceae
Source: RefSeq, a predicted model, not a curated record